This 2470-nucleotide ribosomal RNA is filed under the name Triticum aestivum (bread wheat). RNAcentral's name for it is "partial small subunit ribosomal RNA". The record is from RNAcentral. Lineage: Eukaryota; Viridiplantae; Streptophyta; Magnoliopsida; Poales; Poaceae.
GUUCGCCGCCGCUCGCCCCUGCCGCUCCAUCCCUUCGCCGCCUAACCCUUGCAUCCCCCAACCCUCGACUACCUGUCCCAACUCUCCUCCCUGCGCCGCCGUGGGUCUCGGCCUCCCUCCUCCCUGCGCCGCCGCGGGUCUCGGCCUCCCUCCUCCCUUCGUCCAGGCAAAGAGAGGGCUGGCCUUGGCGCCUUGCCACUUUGAUGGCAAUCUGCCUUAUGAUCCGCCGCCGAUCCCGAUCCGCCGCCGAUCCCGAUCUCGCAUCGGAGGAUUUGAUUGACUUCUCCUCUCCUCUCUUCCACCUCUCUUCGUCGUCGGAUCCCCGCGACACAUGCCCAGAUACGUCCGCAAACCGCCGGCGACGAGGUGUAUGGUGCCGACAUGGCCGUGCUCGAGCGCCUCCAGGACCCCGCAGAGGAGAAUCAAGGCGUGGGGCCUCCUGGACUCCGUCCUUCGCCGCUUUGUCGACGACGUCCCUGCCGCCGGGCAAGAAGGUACUCGAUGACGUACUCGAUGCCCACCUGCAAGGUCAGCCCCCCAUCCUCCCGGUCCUUCCCAGCAAAUAGAUCUGGUAAAAUUUGAAUAAUGAUCUGGACUUCAACGAUUAAUUAAUCUCCUGGUCUCUAAUGGGAACUUUUUUGUUACUGAACUUCGUAGUUGGUUUGCAUAAAAUCUGAAGUUUGUCUAACAUAUUUUACUUGAACACAGUUCGCUUCAGAAUUCUAUUUUAUGUGAGCAUUACUUUCUUGGGGUAUCUGAUUUACUUGGAGGAGUAUUUAAUUACACGUAUGUGUAGUACAAGUUGUUAUUUCGCAAUAAUUUUGAUGGCCUCUAAGCAUCAUUGUUCAUGUCUAUUAUUAUUUAUGAAAGCUACAUGUCUUGGAGGGAAGUUGCGACUUGAGGGAGUGAGCUCCCAUUCUCUCAAUUUCUUGGCAUGGCCAUGCUUGCAGUACUGAUAAGGCAUGCUUCAAAAAUGGAGGGAGGACCUGAGCUGCCGCCUUGGUUCCUGUCCGCACCAGCCGCCACAGUAUGUAAUCAGGCCUCCACUAUCGUCCUCUGAAUUUUGGAUUACAUGCAUCUACAAGAGCGUGAGAGUUUGAGAGGGUAGCACAGUGCUACAUAGAAGUUAAUUUUUCUCCAUGAAGUUGAUAUGAUGCGAAGCUGCUGCCAGAUUGAAGGUUAAUUGAGUUCUCAUCUCCAAAAUGUUUGCAUUCUAAGUAUCCUCUUUGAUUCAGCGGUUCCAUGAUGCUACAGUUCACUUUGUUUUUCACCUCUUGAUGCUGCUAUACACAGAAGGUGUUUGCUAAUUUGCACAUUAAAAUUUUUAAGUUUAUCUGCACAUAUUGAUAUUAGCUUGAAUUUUGAACAAGAAAUAGUUUCUUAAUACGUACUUUUGAAUUUUAUGCACUUGUAUGUACACUGCUACUAACGGUGCUCUUGAUCAUGUCAUACACGAGUACUAAUGGUGCAUGCCUUAAUAUUGGAAUGGAAUGAAUACCAGCUUAUGUAGAGAAGCGAGGCCUUUUCGUAUUUGAGGAAGAAUGUCAUGCAACCAUUCAAGAAGAAUAGGAUGGGUAUUCCAGUAAUCCUAUGGAUUAGUCUCUAUAGUUGUUGGCGGCCUAUAAAGCAGAGGUAUCUAUGACUAAAUAAAUAAAAAUUGAUGACUUACUAUUUUACAAUAUUAGUUUCGACUAUAGUGUUGCUGACUAAAUCAUGCUACCUCUCAUUAUUGCGGCGUCUCGCUAGCAGGGUAUUCCCAUUUAGAUUAUGUUUGCCCUUUCGAUCACCGGCGCGGCUGUAGCAGUCUAUGUAGGCGUCGGCGGCAGUAGGGGGGAGGGGACAUCGGAGCCGUCGGUGAUAUUGGAGGAAUCAAUCUAGCCGACCAUCCUUUGAAUGACACAGUUUUGCUACCUCCCACUGAUAACCUUUAGGAGCUAUGGAGAGGAGGGUUAGGAGGGAAGCGAGCCAGCGGCGUGAAGAGAAAAUGUUAGGGUCACAAUAGCAAACGAGUUCAUCUUGCCUGGGUUGCGCUGAUAAGAAAGAAGAUAGAGCUUCAGGUGAGGCAUGUCGUCCCUAGGAAUUUGUUGGUAUCGAGGAUUGUUCCAGGAAGCACUUCUGAUGACAACAUGAUGUUGGGCCUCGGGGACAUGGUAACCAACAGAAACAUAUUGAAGCACAUUGUUGUCAUCAUCCACUUAGUGCCCGUAGGGUCACGCUCAGCAGCAACGGUGCACGGCGAUGGGAAAGACGCAGGGGUGACGGGAUCAUCACCAGUGGGGCCGUCGGGGAGAAGAUGGAGGCAGAUAAGAAAGGAACGGGCUCGGUUGGGUGUGAAAAGGAGAAUGAGAGAGAUAGCGAUGAUGUGGUGCUGCACCACUGCUCUCCUACUGCUAGCUGAAUUUUGGUAUUGUUGCUGCUAUCUGAAUUUCGCACACACACGGCGAGGUGUUUGAUGCUGGCCGACGUCGCG